GAAUGUCUCUAUUCCUACAGAGAUCUUUCUGAACUACGACUUGAAUUUUGGAUGGGGGAUUGGAAGACGGUGGGAAAAUAUUUGGUAAAGACUUGACUGCUCUCCUGGCUGAAAUGUUUCACCCAGGAUAACCCCAGUUAUACUUGGGGCAGCAAGAUUGGAGAGAGAGUCAAGGAGAGAGAGAGAGAGAUUUUGAUUCAAGGAGCAGUCCAGUGCAAGGUCUCAGUGUCUAACAAGUCUCUGUGGUUCAGAUGGAUAUCCGACUUCAGUGAAGAAACAUAUCUUGUCCCAGAUUCCUUUCUCAUUAAUGGCAUGAUUCUUGAAAUAUGGCUCUUACAUUCACUGCUCUCCACUGGAAGAUAGAUGUUAUAGCCCCUCUUUGGCACUCUUUUCCUCUAAAAUGGCAUGAUGUGGGAUCAGGGUAAAGGACAGUACAUAUUUUCCCUGAGCCAAAAAGCCCCUUCCCAUGUAAAGCUCUCCUCAUGUAGUGUUCUUACUCCCUCUUUCCUUUGUUUCAGUAUUCAGGUUAUAUGGGAAUUGGGUCUUUUUCACUCAUAUAUUUUCUUUUUGACUGAGAGUUUAUACUGUAUAUUAUUUGGAUGCAGUUUUGGAAAAAUUAUGUUGGCCCUGAAAUGCCACACACAUUCAGGGAAAGAGCAAUAAUUAUGUAGAGAGCAGGUGGGCCCAGAGUGGGCAGUGUUGCCUUUCCUUUGAAAGUUCCAGGAAAAAUGAUUGCCACAGAAAUGGCAUCAUGCACAUUGAGCCUUGUGGCCACACUGCCACACUGUGAGAUGAGGAAGCCGUUUUGGCAGCUUGUGGGAAGCAAUCAACCUCAGACCUCAGGGGCUCAAUGUUGUGCACACUGAGCUGUUGUCCUGGAGGUAUGUUGAAAAUGAUUUAAAAGAUGAUGAAUCAGGUGGGUGGUACAUUUUGAUGAGAAAUAUUAUCUCCAUCUUUAGGCUUAUACCCACAAUCUCAUCAGUAUACUGAUCUAGACCUCGAUUAUACAGGCUUGCUGUUUGAUCAUGGUAUGUUUUAAAGGGACCAAUAAGCCAAGCAACUCAGAUCUUUUCCUACACAAGAAAAAAGACUCAUACCUAAUGGCCCUUAGAAACUCAUCAUCCCAGAGCACCAACACGGAAACCAUGUCCCUCUACCUUCAACCAAACACAAGGUCCUGGAUGUCACCCCUGAAGAUGACAUUUAAAAGGGGGAAAUUACAGAUCCACUCUUCUGAAUAUACAUGUCAAUACAUGAAAGCACAUGCUAGUCUUCCAAAUCAAAGGAAUAUUAACCCAGAAUGAACCCAGGAUAUUUCAGGUGCAUAUUCCACAGUUUGAUAAGCACAACCUCUCUCUCUGAGUGCUUGCUGGUAGUGUGGUGACUAGGGCCAGUUCCAGCUCGUUUGUGGUGUCCACAAUUUUAAGGAAGGGAAGGAGGGUCUUUCUUAUGAUCCUCUUGAGCCAUGUGAGGAUAUCUUCAAGUGGACUUCCUUGAGGGUUCCCUCUUGGAUGAGAGAGGACUCUGUCCAUGCAAAUCGAGGGUCUAGAGAAGGUUGAUGAUUGGACCAAAUAGAGACUGGUUUUAGGUGACAGACUCUUUCACUCUGGCUCAUUGUCAGCCAGGUCUUGCUCAAGGGUGCUUAGAGUAGUUUGGAUGCCAAUUCAUUGAGACAUGAAAAGUCACAGACUUAAUUUGCUAAAUGCCUCAAGCAUGAGUCCUGAUGUCCACCUCCCCAGCAAAUUCAGAAAACCUGGUCAUCCAGGUGCGGUGUGCUGCAGGAAAGCAAAUUCUCAUGUGAUUGUGGUUGAAAAUAUUUUGAUCUCUGAGUCAACUUUGUGAACAUGGAAACCACGGUACACAUGAGGUGGUCAGUGGGUCACCAUGAAGGGCUGACAAUGGGAAGUGUGGUGUGAACAUGGCACAAGUUCCUACAGAGGUAUUCAUUCUGGACGACCACUUGUAUUUUGGAUGUGGGAUCAGAAGACAGAUGGAAAAUGUUGGGUAAAGACUUGGACUGCUUUUCUGGCUGAUAUAUUUCAGCCAGUAUCACUGAGGUAAACUUGGGGCAGCAGGAUUCUAGAGGGAGUGAAGGAGGGAGAAGGGGCAAGUGAGAGAGAGUGAAAGAGUCAGAGAGAGUGAUAAAAGAGAUUUUGAUUCCAACAACUGUCCAGGGCAAGACUCUUUGGCAAGGAGGUGUCUGUGAUUCAGGUGUAUACCUGGCUUCAGAGAAGAAUCUGCACUCUUGUCCCAGAUACUUCAAUCCUCAUUGGUGUGACUCUUGAAAUUUGGCCGUUACAUUCACUGCUCCCCACAGGAAGAUAAGGGUUAUACCACUUUUUGGCACCAAUUUCCUCUAAAAUGGCAUGAUGCGGGGAUCAGGUUAAAAUAUAGUAUACAUUUUCCCUGAGCUGAAAAUCCCAUUCCCAUGUAAACGGCUUCUCAUGUUUUGUUCUUUCCAACUUUUUGCUUGUUUUCAGUAUCAAACUAUUUGGGAAGUUGGUUUUAGUCACUCACAUAUUUUUUUUCCAACUGAUUGUUUAUACUGUGGAUGCCUGGGAAGCAGAUUUUGGGAAAAAAAAGUUGACCAUGAACUGCCACACAUGUUCAGAGAAAUAGCCAUUAUUAUGUAGAGAGCAGGUGUGCCCAGAGUGGGUGGAGUGGCCUUCCCUCUGAAAAUCCAGGCCAACUGGUUUCCACAAAAAUGGCAUUAUGCCUAUCAGGCCUUGGGCCCCAACUGCCAAUCUGUGAGUUGAGAGGUACAUGUAGGGCAGCAUGUGGGAAGCUCUCAACCUCACAAUAUGCGGGUUGGAUGAUCAGCAAACUGAGAAGUUGUUCUGGAGGUAUGCUGAUACUGAUAUUAAGGAUCAUCCAUCAGGUGGGUGGUAUAAUUUGAUGAAAAAUAUUAUCUCCAUCUUUAGCCUCAUGGCCACCACCCUCAUCAGUCUACUGAGGUACAUAUGAAUUAUACAUGCUUGCUGCUUGAUCAUGGUAUAUCUUACAGUAAACAGUGAUCUGACUGCCUCAAUACUUUUCCUACAUGUAAAAAAUCUCGUGCCAAGUGGCCAUUUUAAUAAUGUCAUCCCAGAGCACAAACACGGAAACCCUGCCACUCUUCCUUCAACUAAGCAAGAGGCCUUCAAUGUCACCCCUGAAGAAGACAUUCCAAAGGGGGAAAUUACAGCUCCACUCUUCUGAAUAUACAUAUCUAUAGAUGAAGCUACAUGCUAGCCAUCGAAAGCAAAGGAAUUUUAACCGAGAAUGAAGCCGGGAUAUUUCUGUUUGAUUUUCCAUAGGUGGAUAAGCACAAGCCCUCUCUCUCUUUGGGUGCUGGCUGGAAGUGUGGAAACUAGGGACAGUGCCAUCAUGUUUGUGGUGUCCACAAUUUUAGGGAAGGAAAGGGGUGUGACUCUUGUUAUCCUCCAUGAAUCCUGUGGUGAUGUCUUCAAUUGGAAUGUCCUGAGGGUUCUCUCUUGGAGGAGAGGGGACUCUGCCCAUGGAAACUGAGGGUCUAGAGAAGGAUGAGGAGUGUCCCAAAUAGAGACUCGAUUUGGGUGAUAGAAAUCUUGCACUACAGCUGACUGUCAUCCAGGCCUUUGUCACGGGUGCUCAGACAGGUGUUCUGAUGCCAAUUAACUGAGACAUGGAGAGUCACACACUUCAUUUCCUAAACCCCCAAGAACGAGUCCAGAUCUGCUCUUCCCCAGGCAAUCCAGAAGACCUGAUCAUCUAGGAGUGGUCUGCUGCAGGAAAGCUAAUUAUUGCAAAAGCCCUCAUGUGAAGGAGGUUGAAAAUAUUUUGAUCUGAGUCAAAUUUGU
Molecule: long non-coding RNA, 3818 nt
Filed under: Sus scrofa (pig)
Lineage: Eukaryota; Metazoa; Chordata; Mammalia; Artiodactyla; Suidae
Description: lncRNA (ENSSSCG00000058179.1)
Source: RNAcentral